UGGGAUGACGUCAAAUCAUCAUGCCCCUUAUGACCUGGCUACACACGUGCUACAAUGGUUGGUACAACGAGUUGCGAGUCGGUGACGGCGAGCUAAUCUCUUAAAGCCAAUCUCAGUUCGGAUUGUAGGCUGCAACUCGCCUACAUGAAGUCGGAAUCGCUAGUAAUCGCGGAUCAGCACGCCGCGGUGAAUACGUUCCCGGGCCUU
This 207-nucleotide ribosomal RNA is filed under the name uncultured Streptococcus sp. RNAcentral describes it as "partial 16S ribosomal RNA". It matches the Rfam family "Bacterial small subunit ribosomal RNA", at positions 1175 to 1382 of the family's 1533-position model. The record is from RNAcentral. Lineage: Bacteria; Bacillati; Bacillota; Bacilli; Lactobacillales; Streptococcaceae.